Molecule: non-coding RNA, 723 nt
Organism: Arachis ipaensis
Lineage: Eukaryota; Viridiplantae; Streptophyta; Magnoliopsida; Fabales; Fabaceae
Source: RefSeq, a predicted model, not a curated record
ACCCGUCCGACCUUUUUUCUCCCACUAUCAGCGACGUUCCUCAAUAUCAAACUAUUCAGCUCUGACAACGAGGCAACUCGCUGUGUGCGCAACAACAUGGGAUUCUCACACUCAAACACGACCUCAUUAUCACCAUUUCUCAUAAGGCAAUUGGGAUACACACAUACAACCAAAUAUCCGCUACUACUAGACAUUAUGGCUAAUUUGCGAAAAAAUAAGGUGUAGGAGAAGUAGUGAACUUGUUGUGAAGAAUAACAAUGGGUUGCACGUCCGUUUAUAGUUGCUGAAAAUUUAUCCUACGUAUUUUCUUUACACAGUAAACAAAUUAAUUUUACAUGUAUUUCGUUUACCGUGUAAACGAAUUUAUUUUACACUGUAAACGAAAUAUGAGAUGCGACGCAAUUUGGUAAAAACGUUGAAAAUUGUUUAUAUCGGUAAAUAAUAGAAUUAUUUAAUUUAUAUAAAAAAAUCCCACAAAAAUUUUUGCACAUCACACAAACUUAGUAAAAAUCAUUUAUAUAUAGCACAUAAUUUUUUGCACCUAACACAUAAAAUUUUACUGCGAAUGUAUUUUGUUAGUUGCCAAGUCAAUAUGUUUAGUAUGUUGUCUUCAAAAAAUUUUUGUACUGCGCACUAAAAUUUAUGUGCUAUGCAUAGGGGUAACACAACGGGCUGAACUCGUCGAAUCCGCCAACAAAAGCGAAAAAUGCUAUGAUUUUGAAC